UGGACAAAUUAUUGUAUUCAACUGUAUUCACGGCGUGAAACAGGGGAUUACAAUGUUUUUAAACGGAAAGUGAAUCAAUUAACAUAAUAGACUCCU
Molecule: microRNA precursor, 96 nt
Organism: Nicotiana attenuata
Lineage: Eukaryota; Viridiplantae; Streptophyta; Magnoliopsida; Solanales; Solanaceae
Rfam family: MIR6152 microRNA precursor family
Source: Rfam